AUGGAUGUUGAUCUCACUAUGGAUGUGGUGGCCCUUACCACUGCAUAUCAGAUGUGGGAGCACCUUCGCCAUCGCUAUGAGUCUACAGGGGAUGCCAUGUAUCUCUUUGUUGUUCGUCAAGAGCAACAACUACAACAGGGAAAUGCUAUUGUGGAUGAUUUCUACAAGGAGAUGUCAGCAGUGUGGCGCCAAUUGGACUCUCUGGGAGCUGAUGUUUGUCGCAGAUGUCAGUGUUGUGUGCGGCGACAAACUAAGCUGGAGGUUCGUCGCCUCCAUGACUUCCUCACUUGCCUCCGGCCAGAGUUCAAGCAGAGUCAUGCUCAGCUAUUGGGACGCCAUCCUUGGCUCUCUACUCUAGAGGCUCUUGUUGAGGUGCGAUCUGAGGAGCUGCAUCUACGAAGCACGAGCUUGUUGCCAUCCUCUUCAGCAGUCAUGGCUGCCCGCGUUCCACCACCGCUGCCUGGUGUGCCCUCUUCUACACAAGUGGCAGCAAUCUCCGCUAGUGCUUUCUGCAACUACUGCAAGCAGGAUGGUCACAUGAUCACGGAGUGCAUCAAGAGGAGGAAACAGGGUCACCGAGGUGGCCGUCCUCAAAAGGACUCGGGAUGGUCCUCUAAUUCUCGUGAGGGCUCCCUUGAGAAGGUUCACCACGAGAUGCUCACCUUGCUGCGCCGCCUUACUGCUUCUGCGCCAUCCUCAUGUUCUGCUGGUUCUGCUGGUCAGACAUCUGGUCCACCACCGCACUCUUCGUCAAGUACAUCUUUGCCCUGGAUUCUUGAUUCUGGGGCCUCCUUCCACAUGACACCACCUAGAGAUCACAUUUGUGUUGUCAACUUUGUGCCUUCUCCACUUACGGUUCAGACUGCAGAUGGCACUUCUCUUCCUAUUGCUGCAAGAGGGACUCUAUCCACGUGUUCUUUUCAUGUCCCUACCGUUUCUCAUGUUCCUAAACUGACUAUGCAACUUCUAUCUACUGGUGAACUUACUGACUUGGGUUGUCGUGUUAUCCUGGAUUCUGACUCUUGUUAUGUUCAGGAUCGUCGUACGGGGACUCUGGUUGUCUUGUUUGGUUAG
Molecule: ribosomal RNA, 1074 nt
Filed under: Triticum aestivum (bread wheat)
Lineage: Eukaryota; Viridiplantae; Streptophyta; Magnoliopsida; Poales; Poaceae
Description: partial small subunit ribosomal RNA
Source: RNAcentral